UACUCGAGUGGUGAACGGGUGAGUAACACGUGGGUGAUCUGCCCUGCACUUCGGGAUAAGCCUGGGAAACUGGGUCUAAUACCGGAUAGGACCACAUUUUGGAUGGUGUGGUGGAAAGUUUUUCGGUGUGGGAUGAGCUCGCGGCCUAUCAGCUUGUUGGUGGGGUAAUGGCCUACCAAGGCGUCGACGGGUAGCCGGCCUGAGAGGGUGUACGGCCACAUUGGGACUGAGAUACGGCCCAG
This 242-nucleotide ribosomal RNA is filed under the name uncultured Actinomycetales bacterium. RNAcentral describes it as "partial 16S ribosomal RNA". It matches the Rfam family "Bacterial small subunit ribosomal RNA", at positions 88 to 334 of the family's 1533-position model. The record is from RNAcentral. Lineage: Bacteria; Bacillati; Actinomycetota; Actinomycetes; Actinomycetales.